UUAAAAAGCAAGUCCCAGAAGAAGUGCCCUGAGCUAUAGACACUGUAAGACACCGUUUGGAAGGAGCAAAACAGUUAGGUGAUGGGUGACAUAGAAGGCCUCGACAACGCAUCCAGCACGGUGCCCUGCCCGGCUCAGAGCUCUGACAAACAGAGGGAGGACAAAGGAGGCGACGCUCUCCAGCUACGGAAACGAAAGAAACAAUUCUGGCGGUCCCAUCGUGUUGAGCCAAUAGGAGGAAACAGGUGUGACUCCAGUUUUGCACUACAAGACCUCAAUCAAUGACACCAGAUGGAAGAGAGAAUAAACACUGAGUCCUCUUAUUGAUCAUUUAGCAAUGCACUGCAGAAGUUAUGCAUUCUGAAUGUUACUUUUCCUGCUCUUUGUGUUAAAAUCAGCGUUUAUUAAUCUGACAACAGCUCUCAUCACCUGUUUGUUUUUUAGUAGUUACAAAAAACAUCCCCCUGUUCUGUGUAUUGUGUAGUACUUCAAAGAAUCACAGUGAGAAAUGCACUGUACUUUUCACUCUUGAGACCCUGUGCAAGUAAACAUAAAUGGUGUAUGUGAACUGAUAAGCCAUCUGUGACCUAAUAAAGCAAAUAAAUACUUCACCAC
Long non-coding RNA from Astatotilapia calliptera (eastern happy), 615 nucleotides. NCBI's taxonomy places the organism in Eukaryota, Metazoa, Chordata, Actinopteri, Cichliformes, Cichlidae. The record is from Ensembl.